Molecule: ribosomal RNA, 233 nt
Filed under: uncultured bacterium
Lineage: Bacteria
Description: partial 16S ribosomal RNA
Rfam family: Bacterial small subunit ribosomal RNA
Source: RNAcentral
AAUCAACGCUGGCGGCGUGCCUCAGACAUGCAAGUCGAACGCGAAAGUCCCCCUCGGGGGACGAAGUAGAGUGGCGCACGGGUGAGUAACACGUAGGUAAUCUACCUUCGGGUGGGGAAGUAACAAUCGGAAACGGUUAGCUAAUACCGCAUAAUGCAGCGGCACCUAAUGGUGACAGUUGUUAAAGCGGGGGAGUCGCAAGAUCUCGCGCCUGAAGAGGAGCCUGCGGCGGA